This 597-nucleotide ribosomal RNA is filed under the name uncultured bacterium. RNAcentral describes it as "bacterial SSU rRNA". It matches the Rfam family "Bacterial small subunit ribosomal RNA", at positions 112 to 704 of the family's 1533-position model. The record is from RNAcentral.
AAUACUUAGGAAUCUACCUAUUAAUGGGGGACAACAUUUCGAAAGGAAUGCUAAUACCGCAUACGCCCUACGGGGGAAAGCAGGGGAUCUUCGGACCUUGCGUUAAUAGAUGAGCCUAAGUCGGAUUAGCUAGUUGGUGGGGUAAAGGCCUACCAAGGCGACGAUCUGUAGCGGGUCUGAGAGGAUGAUCCGCCACACUGGGACUGAGGCACGGCCCAGACUCCUACGGGAGGCAGCAGUGGGGAAUAUUGGACAAUGGGGGGAACCCUGAUCCAGCCAUGCCGCGUGUGUGAAGAAGGCCUUUUGGUUGUAAAGCACUUUAAGCGAGGAGGAGGCUACUGGUACUAAUACUACCAGCUAGUGGACGUUACUCGCAGAAUAAGCACCGGCUAACUCUGUGCCAGCAGCCGCGGUAAUACAGAGGGUGCGAGCGUUAAUCGGAUUUACUGGGCGUAAAGCGUGCGUAGGUGGCCAAUUAAGUCAAAUGUGAAAUCCCCGAGCUUAACUUGGGAAUUGCAUUCGAUACUGGUUGGCUAGAGUAUGGGAGAGGAUGGUAGAAUUCCAGGUGUAGCGGUGAAAUGCGUAGAGAUCUGGAGG